UAGAGUUUGAUCCUGGCUCAGGAUGAACGCUGGCGGCGUGCCUAAUACAUGCAAGUCGAGCGCGUCUUUCGGGGGCUUGCCCCCGUAAAGACGAGCGGCGGACGGGUGAGUAACACGUGGGCAACCUGCCCAUCAGACCGGGAUAACCACGGGAAACCGUGGCUAAUACCGGAUAAUCCUUUGCCACGCAGGUGGCAAAGUUGAAAGGCGGCUUCGGCUGUCACUGAUGGAUGGGCCUGCGGCGCAUUAGCUGGUUGGUGGGGUAACGGCCCACCAAGGCGACGAUGCGUAGCCGACCUGAGAGGGUGAUCGGCCACACUGGGACUGAGACACGGCCCAGACUCCUACGGGACGCAGCA
Molecule: ribosomal RNA, 359 nt
Filed under: uncultured bacterium FR053
Lineage: Bacteria
Description: bacterial SSU rRNA
Rfam family: Bacterial small subunit ribosomal RNA
Source: RNAcentral